GCGGGCGUAGCUCAGCGGCUAGAGCGUCUGCCUUCCAAGCAGAAUGUCGUGGGUUCAAAUCCCAUCGCCCGCUCCA
RNAcentral lists this transfer RNA (76 nucleotides) under Planctomycetota bacterium. RNAcentral describes it as "tRNA-Gly". It matches the Rfam family "tRNA". Rfam says of the family: Transfer RNA (tRNA) molecules are approximately 80 nucleotides in length. Their secondary structure includes four short double-helical elements and three loops (D, anti-codon, and T loops). Lineage: Bacteria; Pseudomonadati; Planctomycetota. The record is from RNAcentral.